ACUUAUAUAGUAUAUUUAUUACAUUUAACUUCCAAUUAAAAAAAUUAUUUUAAUUAAUAAUAUAAGUA
Molecule: transfer RNA, 68 nt
Filed under: Dolichovespula xanthicincta
Lineage: Eukaryota; Metazoa; Arthropoda; Insecta; Hymenoptera; Vespidae
Description: tRNA-Gly
Source: RNAcentral